GGCGGUUCGCUGCCGGCGACGUCGCGAGAAUUCCACUGAACCUUAUCAUUUAGAGGAAGGAGAAGUCGUAACAAGGUUUCCGUAGGUGAACCUGCGGAAGGAUCAUUGUCGAACCCUGCAAAGCAGAACGACCCGUGAACUUGUAACAACAACGCGUGUUGGGUGUAUCGAGCAUUUGUUCGAGCCACUUGAUGCUUUGUCAAAGUGCAUUCACUUGGGCCUCUUGGGCCCUUGUGGAUGUCGCGGAGACACAAUAACAAACCCCGGCACGGAAUGUGCCAAGGAAAACAAAACUUAAGAAGGGCUGUUCGCAUGUUGCCCCGUUCGCGGUGUGCACAUGUGAAUCUGCUUUUUUUGUAAUUACAAACGACUCUCGGCAACGGAUAUCUCGGCUCACGCAUCGAUGAAGAACGUAGCAAAAUGCGAUACUUGGUGUGAAUUGCAGAAUCCCGUGAACCAUCGAGUUUUUGAACGCAAGUUGCGCCCGAAACCUUUUGGUCGAGGGCACGUCUGCCUGGGCGUCACGCAUCGUGUCGCCCCCGCAUCACAAUCACCGUUAAGGUGUGUGAUUCGGGAGCGGAGAUUGGACUCCCGUGCUUAGCUGCGGUUGUCCAAAAUAGGAGUCCCCUUCGAUGGACGCACGAUAAGUGGUGGUCGUCAAAACCCUCGUCUUGUGUCGUGUGUUAUAAGUCGCAAGGGAAGAACUCUAUACGAACCCCAAUGUGUUGUCUUUAGACGAUGCUUCGACCGCGACCCCAGGUCAGGCGGGACUACCCGCUGAGUUUAAGCAUAUCAAUAAG
This 800-nucleotide ribosomal RNA is filed under the name Cotula australis. RNAcentral's name for it is "eukaryotic LSU rRNA". The stretch from base 369 to 524 matches the Rfam family "5.8S ribosomal RNA". The record is from RNAcentral. Lineage: Eukaryota; Viridiplantae; Streptophyta; Magnoliopsida; Asterales; Asteraceae.